GAUGAACGCUGGCGGCGUGCCUAAUACAUGCAAGUCGAGCGAACAGACGAGGAGCUUGCUCCUCUGACGUUAGCGGCGGACGGGUGAGUAACACGUGGAUAACCUACCUAUAAGACUGGGAUAACUUCGGGAAACCGGAGCUAAUACCGGAUAAUAUAUUGAACCGCAAGGUUCAAUAGUGAAAGACGGUUUUGCUGUCACUUAUAGAUGGAUCCGCGCCGCAUUAGCUAGUUGGUAAGGUAACGGCUUACCAAGGCAACGAUGCGUAGUCGACCUGAGAGGGUGAUCGGCCACACUGGAACUGAGACACGGUCCAGACUCCUACGGGAGGCAGCAGUAGGGAAUCUUCCGCAAUGGGCGAAAGCUUGACGGAGCAACGCCGCGUGAGUGAUGAAGGUCUUCGGAUCGUAAAACUCUGUUAUUAGGGAAGAACAAAUGUGUAAGUAACUAUGCACGUCUUGACGGUACCUAAUCAGAAAGCCACGGCUAACUACGUG
Molecule: ribosomal RNA, 497 nt
Filed under: uncultured bacterium
Lineage: Bacteria
Description: partial 16S ribosomal RNA
Rfam family: Bacterial small subunit ribosomal RNA
Source: RNAcentral